GAGUUUGAUCAUGGCUCAGGAUGAACGCUAGCGGCAGGCUUAACACAUGCAAGUCGAGGGGUAACAGGGAUUGCUUGCAAUCCGCUGACGACCGGCGCACGGGUGCGUAACGCGUAUGCAACCUACCUUCUACAGGGGGAUAGUCAAUAGAAAUGUUGAAUAAUACCCCAUACGAUCUUUGAAUAGCAUUAUUUAAAGAAGAAAGUUCCGGCGGUAGAAGAUGGGCAUGCGCCCUAUUAGUUAGUUGGAGAGGUAACGGCUCCCCAAGACAUCGAUAGGUAGGGGUCCUGAGAGGGAGACCCCCCACACUGGUACUGAGACACGGACCAGACUCCUACGGGAGGCAGCAGUGAGGAAUAUUGGACAAUGGAGGCAACUCUGAUCCAGCCAUGCCGCGUGCAGGAAGACUGCCCUAUGGGUUGUAAACUGCUUUUAUACAGGAAGAAAUGUACCUACGUGUAGGUAUUGACGGUAC
RNAcentral lists this ribosomal RNA (475 nucleotides) under uncultured Bacteroidota bacterium. RNAcentral's name for it is "bacterial SSU rRNA". It matches the Rfam family "Bacterial small subunit ribosomal RNA", at positions 9 to 478 of the family's 1533-position model. Lineage: Bacteria; Pseudomonadati; Bacteroidota. The record is from RNAcentral.